CAUUCAAUUGUGGAUUGUUGGGUAUGCGGCAACAAUCUUUUCGUUGAAAGAUGGCCCGUACGAAACCCAUAGCUGUCCGGGACAACCGUGAUCCCCAUCUUGGCUCUGCAAGAUGAAAUCAGAUUGGCCAAUCUAUGCAGAGGGGAUCCCCUCUCGGCAACUCCGCAAGUGGGGAAAUUGAGGGUUUUUCUUUACCCCUCGCAUCUUCCACCGGUCCUGCGAGUCCCGAUAUGGAUCCCCGAUUUCAAUAAGGAUCCAUUCAGCGAUGUUUGUCGUCGGCAGAUUGGGAACAAUUUCUUCCACCCGCAUUUCACCGAAUUUGUGGCAAACUGCCGAAAAAAAUUGAAUUUAUGGAAAGAAAAAUAAAGUAUAUUUUUUAAAUGGAAA
Aedes aegypti (yellow fever mosquito) is the source of this 387-nucleotide long non-coding RNA. RefSeq lists it as uncharacterized. The transcript has 3 exons. The record is from RefSeq and is a predicted model, not a curated record. Lineage: Eukaryota; Metazoa; Arthropoda; Insecta; Diptera; Culicidae.